UACGUAGGCAGCAAGCGUUGUUCGGAAUUACUGGGCGUAAAGCGUGCGCAGGCGGUUUUGUAAGUCUGUCGUGAAAUCCCCCGGGCUCAACCUGGGAAUUGCGAUGGAGACUGCAAGGCUAGAAUCUGGCAGAGGGGGGGUAGAAUUCCACGUGUGAGCAGUGAAAUGCGUAGAGAUGUGGAGGAACACCGAUGGCGAAGGCAGCCCCCUGGGUCAAGAUUGACGCUCAUGCACGAAAGCGUGGGAGCAACAGGAUUAGAGUACCCG
This 267-nucleotide ribosomal RNA is filed under the name uncultured bacterium. RNAcentral's name for it is "partial 16S ribosomal RNA". It matches the Rfam family "Bacterial small subunit ribosomal RNA", at positions 524 to 789 of the family's 1533-position model. The record is from RNAcentral.